CGCACAGCGGCCCGCGCGCGUUCCUCCCAUCGUAAUAACCACAACAAAACCCGACAAUAAUACCUACAAUUAAAUCAAAUUAAUUAACAAUAAAACCAUUAUUUUAAAAAGACUGUCUUUGAAAUGUCGACAAUAAUUAAAAUAGAUGUAAAAAUAAAAUUUUACUGAUAAGACUUUACCGGUAGAUAAGUGAAAGGCUUCGGUGAUCUAACCAUGUGAAAAAGUGAAAGUGAAGUGUAGAACAGUUCGUGUAUAACACCGACCGGUUUCGUACGAUCGUUGCGCGCGCGCACAAAUAAUAAAAACCUCAAAAACCAAUAAAAAUUAAUUAACGCUGUUAAAACUACACGAAAUAAGUACUUAAUGGUUAAAAAAGUGUUUAAAAAACCAGAAUUUCAAUAAGAUUUAUCAAUUUAAAAUGAAAAAACACGUGAACUUUGCCGGCGAUUAAAAAAAAAACAGCGCCGUCUUUUGCCAACCAACUGAAUGCAAAAAAAAACCGAAAACAGUGUAAAACUUCCAAGUUCAGAGUUCCUCGAGAAAGGUUAAUUCCAAUUAUUAGAAAAAAAAAUGUCCAAAGAAAUGAGACUCGGAGUUCCAAUGCCAGUUAAGUUAAAAUAGAGAUUGCAUACAGUUUCAAAGCAAAGAGAUUGCCAAAUUAUUUGUGAAAAGGAGUUUUUCAAAAACUUGAAAAUAAAGAGGUCCUAUUCCACAGAUUUAAAAAAUAACUGUCAACUCAGUUAUCCAUAGAGUUUAAAUCCAAGGAGGUUUCACGUAAAAUUAAAAAAGAAAAGAGUUUGAAGAGAGGAAGGUUUUAUUUAAA
This is a long non-coding RNA of Maniola jurtina (meadow brown), 823 nucleotides long. RefSeq lists it as uncharacterized. The transcript has 2 exons. The record is from RefSeq and is a predicted model, not a curated record. Lineage: Eukaryota; Metazoa; Arthropoda; Insecta; Lepidoptera; Nymphalidae.